RNAcentral lists this ribosomal RNA (497 nucleotides) under uncultured bacterium. RNAcentral's name for it is "partial 16S ribosomal RNA". It matches the Rfam family "Bacterial small subunit ribosomal RNA", at positions 28 to 507 of the family's 1533-position model. The record is from RNAcentral.
GACGAACGCUGGCGGCGUGCCUAAUACAUGCAAGUUGAGCGAUGAAGAUUGGUGCUUGCACCAAUUUGAAGAGCAGCGAACGGGUGAGUAACGCGUGGGGAAUCUGCCUUUGAGCGGGGGACAACAUUUGGAAACGAAUGCUAAUACCGCAUAACAACUUUAAACAUAAGUUUUAAGUUUGAAAGAUGCAAUUGCAACACUCAAAGAUGAUCCCGCGUUGUAUUAGCUAGUUGGUGAGGUAAAGGCUCACCAAGGCGAUGAUACAUAGCCGACCUGAGAGGGUGAUCGGCCACAUUGGGACUGAGACACGGCCCAAACUCCUACGGGAGGCAGCAGUAGGGAAUCUUCGGCAAUGGACGAAAGGCUGACCGAGCAACGCCGCGUGAGUGAAGAAGGUUUUCGGAUCGUAAAACUCUGUUGGUAGAGAAGAACGUUGGUGAGAGUGGAAAGCUCAUCAAGUGACGGUAACUACCCAGAAAGGGACGGCUAACUACGUG